RNAcentral lists this RNase P RNA (352 nucleotides) under Gallionella sp. RNAcentral's name for it is "RNase P RNA component class A". It matches the Rfam family "Bacterial RNase P class A". From Rfam's summary of the family: Ribonuclease P (RNase P) is a ubiquitous endoribonuclease, found in archaea, bacteria and eukarya as well as chloroplasts and mitochondria. The record is from RNAcentral. Lineage: Bacteria; Pseudomonadati; Pseudomonadota; Betaproteobacteria; Nitrosomonadales; Gallionellaceae.
GAAGCUGGCUAGACAGUCGCCGCGCACGCAAGUGCGGGGAGGAAAGUCCGGGCUCCAUAGAGCAGGAUGCCGGUUAACGACCGGACGCCGUGAGGCGAUGGAAAGUGCCACAGAAAAUACACCGCCGAUGGCCGCGCAAGCGGAUCAGGUAAGGUUGAAAUGGCGAGGUAAGAGCUCACCGCGCUGGUGGCAACAUCAGUGGCAGGGUAAACCCCAUCCGGAGCAAGAUCAAAUAGGCUGACCAUGACGUUGCUCGCGUCGUCAGCGGGUAGAUUGCUUGAGCGUCAGGUAACGAAACGCCUAGAGGAAUGACUGUCCACGACAGAACCCGGCUUAUCGGCCAGCUUCACCU